Molecule: ribosomal RNA, 225 nt
Filed under: uncultured prokaryote
Description: partial 16S ribosomal RNA
Rfam family: Bacterial small subunit ribosomal RNA
Source: RNAcentral
ACGGAGGGUGCGAGCGUUAAUCGGAAUUACUGGGCGUAAAGCGCGCGCAGGCGGUUCGCUAAGUCAGGUGUGAAAGCCCCGGGCUUAACCUCGGAAUUGCAUUUGAAACUGGUGAACUAGAGUGCUGCAGAGGGGGGUGGAAUUCCAGGUGUAGCGGUGAAAUGCGUAGAGAUCUGAAGGAAUACCGGUGGCGAAGGCGGCCCCCUGGGCAGACACUGACGCUCA